Long non-coding RNA from Coffea eugenioides, 448 nucleotides. RefSeq lists it as uncharacterized. Lineage: Eukaryota; Viridiplantae; Streptophyta; Magnoliopsida; Gentianales; Rubiaceae. The transcript is spliced from 2 exons. The record is from RefSeq and is a predicted model, not a curated record.
CGCAGCUUCAUUUCAAUCUCAUUUCAUUUCUGCAAAGCUUCAUGGACGGCUAGACAGCAAGAGACAACCGAGGCUUCACCAUUUCUUUCUUCCAAAACUCAUCCAAAUCCUUACCAAAACUUCCAUAGAUUCUUACCAAUCUCCACAUUCAUUUAGCUUUUCACUUGGACGGCAACUUAGCUGCAAAAGGAAGGAGCUAUCCACGGUUUCUUCAAGCUUCAAAGGGGCCGAAAAAUCUGUCCAAACCAGUCAUCAAAGUAGGUUUGAACUCGGAGGUAAAAUGGAGAAGCCCUCUGAUGUACUUUUGUUUAGGGCUUGUUAUUACUUUUGGUUAUGCCUUUGGUUUUGAAAUUUUACUUUUGGUAUGGAAAUGUAACCCUUGGACGAAAUGAAAUCUGUAUUCUGACGUGUGGUUUGGUGAAUGGAUGACUAUUAUUAGGUUUGAAUA